This 88-nucleotide transfer RNA is filed under the name Candidatus Jorgensenbacteria bacterium. Its description in RNAcentral is "tRNA-Leu". It matches the Rfam family "tRNA". From Rfam's summary of the family: Transfer RNA (tRNA) molecules are approximately 80 nucleotides in length. Their secondary structure includes four short double-helical elements and three loops (D, anti-codon, and T loops). Further hydrogen bonds mediate the characteristic L-shaped molecular structure. tRNAs have two regions of fundamental functional importance: the anti-codon, which is responsible for specific mRNA codon recognition, and the 3' end, to which the tRNAs corresponding amino acid is attached (by aminoacyl-tRNA synthetases). tRNAs cope with the degeneracy of the genetic code in two manners: having more than one tRNA (with a specific anti-codon) for a particular amino acid; and 'wobble' base-pairing, i.e. permitting non-standard base-pairing at the 3rd anti-codon position. The record is from RNAcentral. Lineage: Bacteria; Candidatus Joergenseniibacteriota.
GCCGAGGUGGCGGAACUGGCAGACGCGCAGGACUCAAAAUCCUGUAACCAUUAAGGUUGUGAGGGUUCAAGUCCCUCCCUCGGCACCA